RNAcentral lists this ribosomal RNA (1576 nucleotides) under Salmonella enterica subsp. enterica serovar Javiana. RNAcentral's name for it is "partial 23S ribosomal RNA". It matches the Rfam family "Bacterial large subunit ribosomal RNA", at positions 582 to 2141 of the family's 2925-position model. Lineage: Bacteria; Pseudomonadati; Pseudomonadota; Gammaproteobacteria; Enterobacterales; Enterobacteriaceae. The record is from RNAcentral.
CCCUUUGGGGUGUGACUGCGUACCUUUUGUAUAAUGGGUCAGCGACUUAUAUUCUGUAGCAAGGUUAACCGAAUAGGGGAGCCGGAGGGAAACCGAGUCUUAAUUGGGCGUUAAGUUGCAGGGUAUAGACCCGAAACCCGGUGAUCUAGCCAUGGGCAGGUUGAAGGUUGGGUAACACUAACUGGAGGACCGAACCGACUAAUGUUGAAAAAUUAGCGGAUGACCUGUGGCUGGGGGUGAAAGGCCAAUCAAACCGGGAGAUAGCUGGUUCUCCCCGAAAGCUAUUUAGGUAGCGCCUCGUGAAUUCAUCUCCGGGGGUAGAGCACUGUUUCGGCUAGGGGGCCAUCCCGGCUUACCAACCCGAUGCAAACUGCGAAUACCGGAGAAUGUUAUCACGGGAGACACACGGCGGGUGCUAACGUCCGUCGUGAAGAGGGAAACAACCCAGACCGCCAGCUAAGGUCCCAAAGUCAUGGUUAAGUGGGAAACGAUGUGGGAAGGCCCAGACAGCCAGGAUGUUGGCUUAGAAGCAGCCAUCAUUUAAAGAAAGCGUAAUAGCUCACUGGUCGAGUCGGCCUGCGCGGAAGAUGUAACGGGGCUAAACCAUGCACCGAAGCUGCGGCAGCGACGCUGAUGCGUUGUUGGGUAGGGGAGCGUUCUGUAAGCCUGUGAAGGUGGCCUGUGAGGGUUGCUGGAGGUAUCAGAAGUGCGAAUGCUGACAUAAGUAACGAUAAAGCGGGUGAAAAGCCCGCUCGCCGGAAGACCAAGGGUUCCUGUCCAACGUUAAUCGGGGCAGGGUGAGUCGACCCCUAAGGCGAGGCCGAAAGGCGUAGUCGAUGGGAAACGGGUUAAUAUUCCCGUACUUGGUGUUACUGCGAAGGGGGGACGGAGAAGGCUAUGUUGGCCGGGCGACGGUUGUCCCGGUUUAAGCGUGUAGGUGUGUGUUCCAGGUAAAUCCGGUUCACUUUAACACUGAGGCGUGAUGACGAGGCACUACGGUGCUGAAGCAACAAAUGCCCUGCUUCCAGGAAAAGCCUCUAAGCAUCAGGUAACAUCAAAUCGUACCCCAAACCGACACAGGUGGUCAGGUAGAGAAUACCAAGGCGCUUGAGAGAACUCGGGUGAAGGAACUAGGCAAAAUGGUGCCGUAACUUCGGGAGAAGGCACGCUGACACGUAGGUGAAGUGAUUUACUCAUGGAGCUGAAGUCAGUCGAAGAUACCAGCUGGCUGCAACUGUUUAUUAAAAACACAGCACUGUGCAAACACGAAAGUGGACGUAUACGGUGUGACGCCUGCCCGGUGCCGGAAGGUUAAUUGAUGGGGUCAGCGCAAGCGAAGCUCCUGAUCGAAGCCCCGGUAAACGGCGGCCGUAACUAUAACGGUCCUAAGGUAGCGAAAUUCCUUGUCGGGUAAGUUCCGACCUGCACGAAUGGCGUAAUGAUGGCCAGGCUGUCUCCACCCGAGACUCAGUGAAAUUGAACUCGCUGUGAAGAUGCAGUGUACCCGCGGCAAGACGGAAAGACCCCGUGAACCUUUACUAUAGCUUGACACUGAACAUUGAGCCUUGAUGUGUAG